AGCCCUAACACAGUUCCACGAAGAACAAAGCCUGAUGUGAUGUGGCAGACUUGCACUUACCACUGGACAGCUGAAAAGAGCAUGGUGACUCCACCACUUCCAUGGGCAGGCUGUUCCAGUGACUGACCACUCUUGCAAGAAAGAAAACAUGUCAUAAUAGCCAACCUACACCUGCUCUGGUGCAACUGGAGCCAACCUGUCACCUGGGAGAAGAUACUGACCCCCACCUGCCUUGGACUUCCUUUCAGCCUGUGACCCAGAGCCACAACCAAAGGAGAUUCAAGACCUCUGGGGAGAAGAACACAAACAUGCCCCUGAGUUGAGCUAUGCCUCUCUGACUGAAGCACAGGGAUGGCUGUUUCUCUUCUGAAGGAAACAAGGUGGUGCUUGUGGUUAUGGUUCCACACUGCACACUUUCACCAGGCAGGACUUUUGACAGGCAGCAGCUGUCUCCAGAGUUCAUGCACCACUGUGGGAUGAAAGACAUCAGCCACCCUUUGCAGCACCACGGAGACAGAACAAGUCCUCUUUGAAGUGCA
Molecule: long non-coding RNA, 539 nt
Organism: Pogoniulus pusillus (Red-fronted tinkerbird)
Lineage: Eukaryota; Metazoa; Chordata; Aves; Piciformes; Lybiidae
Exons: 3
Source: RefSeq, a predicted model, not a curated record